GCUAGGGUGGCAGAGCCUGGAAAUUGCAAAAGGUCUAAGCCCUUUAUAGCGGAGGUUCAAAUCCUCUCCCUAGCU
This 75-nucleotide transfer RNA is filed under the name Rasbora trilineata (scissor-tailed rasbora). RNAcentral describes it as "tRNA-Leu". It matches the Rfam family "tRNA". From Rfam's summary of the family: Transfer RNA (tRNA) molecules are approximately 80 nucleotides in length. Their secondary structure includes four short double-helical elements and three loops (D, anti-codon, and T loops). Lineage: Eukaryota; Metazoa; Chordata; Actinopteri; Cypriniformes; Danionidae. The record is from RNAcentral.